AGCGAACGCUGGCGGCAGGCUUAACACAUGCAAGUCGAGCGGGCACUUCGGUGUCAGCGGCAGACGGGUGAGUAACACGUGGGAACGUACCCUUCGGUUCGGAAUAACGCUGGGAAACUAGCGCUAAUACCGGAUACGCCCUUUUGGGGAAAGGUUUACUGCCGAAGGAUCGGCCCGCGUCUGAUUAGCUAGUUGGUGGGGUAAUGGCCUACCAAGGCGACGAUCAGUAGCUGGUCUGAGAGGAUGAUCAGCCACACUGGGACUGAGACACGGCCCAGACUCCUACGGGAGGCAGCAGUGGGGAAUAUUGGACAAUGGGCGCAAGCCUGAUCCAGCCAUGCCGCGUGAGUGAUGAAGGCCUUAGGGUUGUAAAGCUCUUUUGUCCGGGACGAUAAUGACGGUACCGGAAGAAUAAGCCCCGGCUAACUGCGU
RNAcentral lists this ribosomal RNA (432 nucleotides) under uncultured bacterium. Its description in RNAcentral is "partial 16S ribosomal RNA". It matches the Rfam family "Bacterial small subunit ribosomal RNA", at positions 29 to 506 of the family's 1533-position model. The record is from RNAcentral.